This 20-nucleotide non-coding RNA is filed under the name Rattus norvegicus (Norway rat). The record is from RNAcentral. Lineage: Eukaryota; Metazoa; Chordata; Mammalia; Rodentia; Muridae.
UUGAGCCCUGUUACUCAUUA